AUGUUCAGAAAUAGAAGAAGUAUCAAAUUGUAUGAUGCAACAAGAUACAGCAAACAAAAGGGAGGAACCCUUCAACUGAUUGCAAUGAUGAAGGCUAAUGGUUCAGAUUUCAGAGAGACUUCAGAGAGACCAAUGGAUGGAUUCACAGGUCUGGUGUAUUUACAGGCAGACCGACCAACAGAGAAUUCACGGUCUAAAGACUUGAUCUCAUUUGCUGGUGCAGCCUUCACAGUUGUUAAAGAAUUUACUGUCGUAUUGAUUUUGAUGGGUCUCACCGGUUGGAUAUGGACCAAAGAAUUUAAUGAGUCGACUGUCAGAAAAAUAAACAUGAGCGAGACUAACUGGAAAUAUUUAAUAACCCCACCACAGAUAUUUGAAGAACAGCUAUUUAAUAACCCCACCACAGAUAUUUGA
Molecule: ribosomal RNA, 414 nt
Filed under: Triticum aestivum (bread wheat)
Lineage: Eukaryota; Viridiplantae; Streptophyta; Magnoliopsida; Poales; Poaceae
Description: partial small subunit ribosomal RNA
Source: RNAcentral